AUGAAUCCCACCUCGGCCCCGGGCCCGGAUGGCCUCCCGGUGAAAUUCUUCCAGACUUUCUGGAAUGUGAUCAAACCAGAGAUCAUGGCCAUUUUCGACGAGUUCUAUGUUAGGUCCAUCGACCACGGGCGCCUCCACUAUGGGAUCAUCUCGCUCAUCCCGAAGGUCCCGGGCGCCUUCGACAUCCGUCAGUUUCGUCCAAUCACUGUCAUCAACGUGAUUUUUCGGAUUCUGGCAAAAGGGUACGCCAAUAGGGUGACCCUCCUCGCGGACCAGAUUACCCACCCCAACCAGUCCGCCUUCAUUCAAGGGCGGUACAUCCUGGACGGGGUGCUA
Molecule: ribosomal RNA, 336 nt
Filed under: Triticum aestivum (bread wheat)
Lineage: Eukaryota; Viridiplantae; Streptophyta; Magnoliopsida; Poales; Poaceae
Description: partial small subunit ribosomal RNA
Source: RNAcentral